UACGUAGGGGGCAAGCGUUGUCCGGAAUCAUUGGGCGUAAAGCGCGUGUAGGCGGUUCGGUAAGUCCGCUGUGAAAGUCGGGGGCUCAACCCUCGAAUGCCGGUGGAUACUGUCGGACUAGAGUACGGAAGAGGCGAGUGGAAUUCCUGGUGUAGCGGUGAAAUGCGCAGAUAUCAGGAGGAACACCAAUUGCGAAGGCAGCUCGCUGGGACGUUACUGACGCUGAGACGCGAAAGCGUGGGGAGCAAACAGG
This 253-nucleotide ribosomal RNA is filed under the name uncultured bacterium. RNAcentral's name for it is "partial 16S ribosomal RNA". It matches the Rfam family "Bacterial small subunit ribosomal RNA", at positions 524 to 776 of the family's 1533-position model. The record is from RNAcentral.